UACCAUUAAAGUUUAUAUGUUGAACAAGAUUAUUUUGAAAGCUAAGCUGGUUACCAAAGGCGGUUAGUAUAGAAUAAUUGAUUAUCAAAUAUUUCUUUACCCCAUACGAAGAAUAUGUAUUUAGUUCUUAUCUACAAGGAAUUGUUUACUUUUUUUCUUCUUCUUUUUUUUAAAAAUUUGAAUUAGUCUUAUUUUUGUUUGAAAAAGUUUCGCGAACUAAUGUAUAACUCGCAAACCUCAGGGUGAAAAAAUGAAAAGGAACUCCAAUGAGAAGUACUAUAGAUCAAGCCAUAAAGAUUGCCAAUGAUGUGCAUCCUUCCGUGAUGUAUUCCAUUAAAACGAAAAACCUUUUACGUAAUGAACAAACGGAAUAAAAUCUAAUCAUAAAAAUUCUUUCAAACAACGGGAUUAUUCUGAAUGAUCCUGACCAAAUCGUCCACCAGGAAACUAUUGUUCUCAGACUUCGAUUGUCCCAGAGAUGUUACAUCUACAUUAAAAAGAACAAAACAUUAUACGAGCAUGAAAAUCCCAUCUCGAUAAUACAAGAUCAUAUAUCAACUGCAAGAACUGCCCAGAUGCCCAACUAAUACCAAAAUAUAUCUUUGAAUGCCCAAUUUUCACUGCUUAAAGGUUUCGUAUGCUGCCACUUCAGGAGAUCUUACGCAGCUUCUAGGGGCCAGAGCAAUCAACCGCUCCUGUAAUGGCAGCUAGAGAACAACCUUCAUUCAUGGACACGUCAACAACAACUUAUGAUCACAAUUAGUAUUCUACUGCGUUGAUCGGAUUUCAAACACAUCUACUUUUAACAGGACCACACUGUACAGUUCUUAAGGUAGUUUAAAUACAAAUAUAAUUGCUGAAAAUUAUAUUGAAAGUUUUGGUUUAGGCCUAAUGUCGAAAUCCGAAGUUUGCUUUCCUUCUAGCCAACAUAUCGAAUUUGCCAAAUAUGGAAGUCUAAGGGUGGAAACAUUUAGUCUAGGCAAGUCAAGUGAGAAAUGGUUUCCUACGCAUUUUUUACACUAAAUAGAAAACAAAACCAAGUCGAGGAGAGUAAUAGUUUUGAUUCUAUAAAGAUCCUUGGUCCUCAUUUGGAGACUCUAAAGGAAUAUGAUCUCUUUGGAAGCCGAUGAAGGAUUCAAGAAAGAAGUAGAAAUCUGAUAUUUUGUUUGCCGCACAUUUUAGUAAAUAAGUCAACCCCCUAUUUUCGAUUAGGAGAUAGCAAAUUUCUUGUAUGUUGACCGCUCAAAAAACCAGACAUUAAAAUUUCUAAAAUUAAAAAGUCUUCCAAAUUUUAAGUUAAAAAUGAUGAAAUAUUCCAAAACUUACCUUAACUUUUUUUAUUCCAAAUUUUUUUUCUAAACAUAAUUUUAAGUAUUGGUUCUAAAAAAAAACCUUUAUAUGCAAAACAAAAUCUGCGGAGAGAAAAUUGUAUAGAUAUAUAGUUUUUGUUAGAAAAAUAGUUAUUGUAUAGAAAAAUAGUUUUUGAAAGGUAUUAGAGUUAUUCUUAUUAAAUCUAUUUCAAUGCUAUAUAGACUUUAUCACCAGAAGUCAAUGCCUAGAUUUUCGUAAAAUUUGGGAUCUUGAAAAGUAGACUCAUGCACCAGGACUAACGUUAUUUGUUUUUGGAGGGUAUAUUACAUUAUAGGAAAAGUUGGUAUUGUUUUUUAUCCUCUUAUAAAGAGAAGUUAGAAUAUUCAGCUUUUCCAUGACUGAAACUAUAUUGGUGAAAUAUACCACAAAAGCGUAAGUCCUCACUUGGACAAAG
This is a non-coding RNA of Parasteatoda tepidariorum (common house spider), 1765 nucleotides long. Lineage: Eukaryota; Metazoa; Arthropoda; Arachnida; Araneae; Theridiidae. The record is from RefSeq and is a predicted model, not a curated record.